CUAUUAUUUUCUACCUCUGUGGCCACACCUUUUCAAUCUCCCUUUUGAACUGCUUCUUUUUUGUGCACCCAAUAUAAACAUCCUCUAACUGUAUUUGUGCACUAUUCUGGGGUGUGCAGCACCACUGAGAAUCCUUCUAUCAUUGUACAUUUCCUACUAUAUUAUGAGUAUGACUUCACUGUUUUUCCUACCAGACCGAAACCCCUUUGUGGAUAAGAACUGUGCCUUUUAUCACCAUAUCCUUGAGGCCUAGUAUAUUGUAGACUAUCAGCAAGUAUGAACUGAAUUGCUCAACACUGAAAACAAAUGGCAAUAAUUUCUUGGCCCAAAGCACAAUGGGACACAAGAGUCAACAUGGAAAAGACAGUGAAGAAAAGGAGUAGGUCCUGGAAUGAAACCUAUCACCCAGGAGAAGAAAAGGAUGGAGGAUGAAUUUGGCAGCUAUGCUGUGCUUUAGGUGAUACAGAUGUAAGUGGCAGAGAAGAUUUCCCAGGUGCACAGAAUACAUGGGCAAGGGACUAGUGCCAGCAAUAUUUAGAACAGCAAGCUGAAGACAAUUAAUGCUGAGAAGGCCUUUCCAAGGUCAAAAGACUUGGCAAUAACACCAAUAGCUAGACAUCAGCUCUGGUAAAAGAAGAAAAGAAAGGUUCAGUGCAUAGUAAUAAGGACCAAUACAAAAGCUUCAUCUUCAGUUUGCGUCAAGAUGAAGACAUCAUCAUCUAAGGAAUGAAUGUAGGAAGAAAGUCCUGUGGUAACCAUUGGACUACAAGACCACAGCUUUGGGCAUUAAUUUAGUUUCACCUGGUCAUGAAACAAGGAUGAGACCUUGAAUGGAGCUAACAGUGAGCUUAGCUGAGAGAAGCUAGAAAAUACUGAAUCAAGAGAAUCUUAUCAAAAUUGACAUUGAUGAGCGUGGCUGAAGGACAAAAAAAAAGUUAGAUAGUUUUUAUAACUGAUAUUCAGGAUAUUAACGAAAGGAAGUUGAUGGUAUUGCCCUUUAAUAUUAUAUUUUGCCUCCACUUGGAAUCCAAGAUCAUAUUUUGCUUCACUGGUACAGAUCUAGUCAUUUUCAACUAGUAAUUACAUAACUCCCUCCUUCUCCCCAAGGAGAGAGUCAUUUUACAAAUGCAAUAUACAAAUAAAUAAAGGCACCAGUGGAGCUAGACCUGCA
This 1171-nucleotide long non-coding RNA is filed under the name Felis catus (domestic cat). Its description in RNAcentral is "lncRNA (ENSFCAG00000053227.1)". The record is from RNAcentral. Lineage: Eukaryota; Metazoa; Chordata; Mammalia; Carnivora; Felidae.